GAAGCUAGGAGGAGGUGGCCUUCCAUAGCUUUAGGAAGAAAAAAAAUCUUCUUUCUUCAUACCAAAAAAUCGGAUAGAGAUUAGGAAAUCUUGUGAUAGGUUGACUUUUGAUUGAUCAAAGGAGUGUGUCAUAGAGAGUUGUUCAUCUCCUAUUUCACCAAAGAGUGUGUUCGGCAGAGGAUGAACUAAGAAGAGACACAGAGGUCUAUAAGUAGGAGGUGGAUGGCCUAGGAAGCUAGGUUUUUAUCAUGACUCUGAUAGGAGUGAGUAGGAUUAGAGAAACUAUAAAAGGGGUUGUAGAAGUGGGAAAACAUCAGAAAUCGAAAAGGAGUAGAGAAUUUGAGAGUUAGAGAACAUGAUUGUGAAGGAAGGAUUCAGAGAUUUGAAGGGUACAGAACCAGAAACCUAAAAGUCUGCUUGCUGUCUGUUGUGUAAUUAUGUAUAAGAAAUAAAAAGAUGAGCUUGUUGGCUUUUGCUCUCUUGUUUGAAUAAAGAACUACUUUUGUGUGAACUUUGAGUAGUUCAUAAGUUGUAAUUUUGGCUGAAACUUUCAAUAAUGAAUAUGUUGUUUAAUUAA
This is a long non-coding RNA of Malus domestica (apple), 577 nucleotides long. RefSeq lists it as uncharacterized. NCBI's taxonomy places the organism in Eukaryota, Viridiplantae, Streptophyta, Magnoliopsida, Rosales, Rosaceae. The record is from RefSeq and is a predicted model, not a curated record.